Molecule: ribosomal RNA, 348 nt
Filed under: Triticum aestivum (bread wheat)
Lineage: Eukaryota; Viridiplantae; Streptophyta; Magnoliopsida; Poales; Poaceae
Description: partial small subunit ribosomal RNA
Source: RNAcentral
AUGUGCCUGGCACUCAUCCUGCUCCAACUCCCCCCUCUCUCUCAGACUCUCACACACAAAGUAACCUCGGGUUUAUCAUGGAUUAUCAUACUCUGCACAGCCAAAGAAGAAGCAGAUCCAAUAGAGAAGAGAGAGGCGCACCGGCCCUUUCCAGGCCACCUGGCCCUCUUGCCCUCGAGUUCAGCUCGGAUGAACGAUGAUGUGAGGAAGCAGCAAGAGAAGCAAAAGGGAAGAGGAGGCGGAGGUGGAAGCGGAGGAGGAAGGCUGGCGAGGAUGCUGCGGGAGCACAGGGCCAGGCUCUACAUCAUCCGGCGCUGCGUCGUCAUGCUGCUCUGCCACCAUGACUGA